RNAcentral lists this long non-coding RNA (279 nucleotides) under Capsella rubella. RNAcentral's name for it is "long non-coding RNA (CRUB_LNC002142)". The record is from RNAcentral. Lineage: Eukaryota; Viridiplantae; Streptophyta; Magnoliopsida; Brassicales; Brassicaceae.
GAAUCGAUCGAUGUAAUCAUUCCAUACCAAGUUCGAUAAGUCGAAGGAGGGAAUGAGGGAUUAUCAUCAUGCAUCGGUGGGGCUAUAAGUUACCAUCUCUAAUGUGUACUAAGCCAAUUGGGUUGGUUGGUUGUAUGGCUAAGGCACAAGAGAUUGGUCAAGGUAAAACUAUUCCGCUGCGUAUAUGAGUUUACCAAGCAAGGCCGUGAGCCAAAUCUAUGUAAACAAGAUAAAUCUUGGUCGUUCGGCCGGGAAUGAGGUCGGACGCCGAAACGUCAA